GGGUUCCUAGCGAGCCCAACCUCCCACCCGUGUUUACUGUACCUUAGUUGCUUCGGCGGGCCCGCCAUUCAUGGCCGCCGGGGGCUCUCAGCCCCGGGCCCGCGCCCGCCGGAGACACCACGAACUCUGUCUGAUCUAGUGAAGUCUGAGUUGAUUGUAUCGCAAUCAGUUAAAACUUUCAACAAUGGAUCUCUUGGUUCCGGCAUCGAUGAAGAACGCAGCGAAAUGCGAUAACUAGUGUGAAUUGCAGAAUUCCGUGAAUCAUCGAGUCUUUGAACGCACAUUGCGCCCCCUGGUAUUCCGGGGGGCAUGCCUGUCCGAGCGUCAUUGCUGCCCAUCAAGCACGGCUUGUGUGUUGGGUCGUCGUCCCCUCUCCGGGGGGGACGGGCCCCAAAGGCAGCGGCGGCACCGCGUCCGAUCCUCGAGCGUAUGGGGCUUUGUCACCCGCUCUGUAGGCCCGGCCGGCGCUUGCCGAACGCAA
RNAcentral lists this ribosomal RNA (481 nucleotides) under Aspergillus flavus. RNAcentral's name for it is "eukaryotic LSU rRNA". The stretch from base 174 to 327 matches the Rfam family "5.8S ribosomal RNA". Lineage: Eukaryota; Fungi; Ascomycota; Eurotiomycetes; Eurotiales; Aspergillaceae. The record is from RNAcentral.